UGAAAUUGCACAUAAAAUGGAAUCGCAGUGCGAAACAAUCAACGUGUCAAUUAAAUAAUGCACACCACCGACAGCGUGGACACUCGGACGUUGACAUAUUUUGGACAUUUGGACGUUUGCUGACAGUUUGUCUCGGGCAGCGAAUGAAUCAACCGAUUCACUCGUGUGAGCCUUUGAAAAGCAUUGACUUUCAGCCACUCGUUCUGGCUUUGACUGGCUGGAAUUUAUCGCUUAACUCCACACAACGGCGGAAUGGGUGGAGGACUCGAGGAUUGGGAUUGGGAAUGCGAUAGAAAAGGCGUUGAAACUGAGUGUGCAGCGGCUCAUAAAGCAAACUGGAGACCUACUCUUACUUUUCACUUCACCUGGGCUUUCCUACCUUCUAAGUGCGAAUGGGAGAGGCGGGGAGGGAAGAGUCCGCAAAAG
Molecule: long non-coding RNA, 426 nt
Organism: Drosophila gunungcola (fruit fly)
Lineage: Eukaryota; Metazoa; Arthropoda; Insecta; Diptera; Drosophilidae
Exons: 3
Source: RefSeq, a predicted model, not a curated record